ACACACACACACACACACACACACACACACACACACAUAUCCCAAGACAAAUUCAAACCAACAUGUCAAAACGGCGUUACACUACGGAAGAAACCGUAGAAUUUAUUUUGUCUGGCGGACCGCUUAGCGAUGCAGCGGUGGAUUCCUCAGAUUCUGAAGCUGACAACUGGCAAGGAAGAGGAGUAUGAUCACGGGAUUGAUCCCUUCGAAGAUAAAAAAGACAGAGGAUGAGAGAGGGGAUGCACAAGCCACUGUCCCCAUCAGUAGGCCUCCUUCAAACCGAGAGGGAAAAGAAUGCGGCCAGGAGGGUGCAGCAUCCAGAAAAAAGGCCAAACCAAUGCCAGCCCCCCUGACAGUGAAAGGGAGAGGAAGAGGGAAAGGGAAAAAAACAUCUCUGACCCCAGAAGAGCCAGGAGCUGUUUGGAACGUGCCAGAUACUGCCCAACAACUACCACACUUUUGCCCGAAAAGAGCCCCUGGAGUCCAAGGUUUUGUUGGUGUGGAGUAUACUCCUGCACAAAUAUUUAGAAAUUGUUUUAACAACCAAGCUGUAAAUAUCAUCUGCAAGAACACAAACAAAAAUGCUGAAAAGGAGCAGGCUAAGGGGGAAAAGUUUGUUUGGGAAAGCCGGUAAAAUUCCUCAUGUAUGUCGGCCUUAUGAUGUUCAUGGCACUUCUAAAACUGCUCAAAGUAAGAGACUACUGGAGGAAGGGAUCACACCUGAGUGUUCUCUUUCCUGCUUCUAUCAUGACAAGAGACAGGUUCAUGGCAAUCAGCAGAGCUGUACAUCUGAGCGACCCAGACCAUGAUGAAUCUUGAUACAUUUCCUUUGCUCUUUAUAUAUUUUUCUAAUAUUUUGGUUAUAGUUUGAAGAUCAUUUGCUCUUUGUACUUUUGCACUUUCUAUAUAUUCCUAAUACUUUGUUUAUAGUUUUAAUAUAAUUUGCACUUUGUUAAUUUGCACUUUGAAUUUGUUUCACUGUUUGUGUUUGUAUUUCAAUGUUCAAAUUAUAAUAUAUAUCUCUGAAACAAGUUAUUUUUGUUGCAAUGUCAUCUGUUAUGGUUUAAUUGUUUACUCUCUCAACCUUUUUUUGACAGAAGAAACAUGAUCAGUCAUUUAAAUAUGGAAAUACAUUUCGUUUUAAUUAUUCCAUAUGAUCCUAGGUGUUUUUCAGUGAAAAACGCCUAGGAUAAUAUUGUAAUAAAUAGCUGUAACUUGCUCAGGGAACAUAAUAUGCAGAUGAAAUUUAAUUUGAAAGCCUAAAACAUCUAAAUGCAGCUUUGUAAAUAAUAAAAAAGAAAAUCCCUAUGUUCCUGGCGGAGUAAACAGUAAAAAAACA
Gymnodraco acuticeps is the source of this 1339-nucleotide long non-coding RNA. RefSeq lists it as uncharacterized. Lineage: Eukaryota; Metazoa; Chordata; Actinopteri; Perciformes; Bathydraconidae. The transcript has 2 exons. The record is from RefSeq and is a predicted model, not a curated record.